GGUUAAUACCCGCUAGGAAAGACAUCACUCGCAGAAGAAGCACCGGCUAACUCCGUGCCAGCAGCCGCGGUAAUACGGAGGGUGCAAGCGUUAAUCGGAAUUACUGGGCGUAAAGCGCGCGUAGGUGGCUUGAUAAGCCGGUUGUGAAAGCCCCGGGCUCAACCUGGGAACGGCAUCCGGAACUGUCAAGCUAGAGUGCAGGAGAGGAAGGUAGAAUUCCCGGUGUAGCGGUGAAAUGCGUAGAGAUCGGGAGGAAUACCAGUGGCGAAGGCGGCCUUCUGGACUGACACUGACACUGAGGUGCGAAAGCGUGGGUAGCAAACAGGAUUAGAUACCCUGGUAGUCCACGCCGUAAACGAUGUCGACCAGCCGUUGGGUGCCUAGCGCACUUUGUGGCGAAGUUAACGCGAUAAGUCGACCGCCUGGGGAGUACGGCCGCAAGGUUAAAACUCAAAUGAAUUGACGGGGGCCCGCACAAGCGGUGGAGCAUGUGGUUUAAUUCGAUGCAACGCGAAGAACCUUACCUA
RNAcentral lists this ribosomal RNA (527 nucleotides) under Halomonas sp. MMRF682. Its description in RNAcentral is "bacterial SSU rRNA". It matches the Rfam family "Bacterial small subunit ribosomal RNA", at positions 451 to 977 of the family's 1533-position model. The record is from RNAcentral. Lineage: Bacteria; Pseudomonadati; Pseudomonadota; Gammaproteobacteria; Oceanospirillales; Halomonadaceae.